UGAUGUUAAAGUAGUAAAGGUCCGCCGGUCGGGGAGGAGCCUAUGGUCUAUCAGCUUGUUGGUGAGGUAAAAGCUCACCAAGGCUACGACGGAUAGCGGGUGUGAGAGCACGACCCGCCUCACUGGGACUGAGACACUGCCCAGACUCCUACGGGAGGCUGCAGUCAAGAAUUUUCCCCAAUGCGCGAAAGCGUGAGGGAGCGACGCCGCGUGUUUGAUGAAGCCCUUCGGGGUGUAAAAAACUUUUCUCUGGGACGAACAAAUGACGGUACCAGAGGAAUAAGAGGUUGCUAACUCUGUGCCAGCAGCAGCGGUAAUACAGAGACCUCGAGCGUUAUCCGGAUUUAUUGGGCGUAAAGGGUUCCGUAGGCGGUUUGCUAAGUCAAUGGUUAAAUCCUCCAGCUCAACUGGAGAACUGCCAUUGAAACUAGUAGACUCGAGACCGGGAGAGGCAAGCGGAAUUGCCGGUGUAGUAGUAAAAUGCGUUAAUAUCGGCAAGAACACCAAAGGCGAAGGCAGCUUGCUAGAACGGUUCUGACGCUAAGGGACGAAAGCGUGGGGAGCGAAUGGGAUUAGAUACCCCAGUAGUCCACGCUGUAAACGAUGGGCACUAGAUAUUGGAAGUAUCGACCCUUCCAGUGUCGUAGACUUAAGCUAACGCCUUAAGUGCCCCGCCUGGGGAGUACGGUCGCAAGACUAAAACUCAAAGGAAUUGACGGGAAUCCGCACAAGCGGUGGAGCAUGUGGUUUAAUUCGACAAUAAGCGAGGAACCUUACCAGGGCUUGACAUCUAGCUGCAAGCCUCCCGAAAAGGAGGCCGCCUUCGAGGGUGCUAGACAGGUGCUGCAUGGUUGUCGUCAGCUCGUGUCGUGAGAUGUACCGUUAAGUCGGGAAACGAGCGCAAUCCCUACUCUGUGUUAUAUAUGUCACAGAGAACUGCCUGGGUUAACCAGGAGGAAGGUGGGGAUGACGUCAAAUCAGCAUGGCUCUUACGUCCUGGGCGACACACGUGCUACAAUGGCCAGUACAAUGGGUUGCCAAGUCGCAAGACGGAGCUAAUCCCAGCAAAGCUGGUCUCAGUUCGGAUUGAGGUCUGAAACUCGACCUCAUGAAGCUGGAAUCGCUAGUAACCGCGCAUCAGCCAUGGCGCGGUGAAUACGUUCUCGGAUUUUGUACACACCGCCCGUCACGUCAAGAGAGUCGGUAAUACCCGAAUCCUGCUGGAUAGCGGGAGAAGGUAGGAUCGAUAAUAGGGACGAAGUCGUAACAAGGCA
This 1274-nucleotide ribosomal RNA is filed under the name metagenome. RNAcentral's name for it is "bacterial SSU rRNA". It matches the Rfam family "Bacterial small subunit ribosomal RNA", at positions 188 to 1498 of the family's 1533-position model. The record is from RNAcentral.